RNAcentral lists this long non-coding RNA (219 nucleotides) under Elaeis guineensis (African oil palm). RNAcentral's name for it is "long non-coding RNA (EGUI_LNC012598)". Lineage: Eukaryota; Viridiplantae; Streptophyta; Magnoliopsida; Arecales; Arecaceae. The record is from RNAcentral.
GCUUGAGCACCUCCAGCUCCUGCACCAAAGCCUCAAGAGCCAACCGACCUACAUAGGUGAAAUAGUCCAAGCACAACUCUUGGACCUAUGCUAAAGACUUGGUGACUCAACCAACCUCUUCAAGACUGAACAUUUCCAAGUUGAAGCUUCUAGCAAAUCUAGCCAUCCAAAUUAGAGCUCCUAACAAAUAAGCAGCAACCUAGCAAUUAAAGCAUGGUC